AGGCGGUUAGUUCAGUUGGUAGAACACACCAAACUCCAAACUUAAGGAGAGGUCAAAGUCCGUGGUUCGAAUCCACGACCGCCUA
Molecule: transfer RNA, 85 nt
Filed under: Xylanibacter muris
Lineage: Bacteria; Pseudomonadati; Bacteroidota; Bacteroidia; Bacteroidales; Prevotellaceae
Description: tRNA-OTHER
Rfam family: tRNA
About the family: Transfer RNA (tRNA) molecules are approximately 80 nucleotides in length. Their secondary structure includes four short double-helical elements and three loops (D, anti-codon, and T loops).
Source: RNAcentral